RNAcentral lists this long non-coding RNA (240 nucleotides) under Elaeis guineensis (African oil palm). RNAcentral's name for it is "long non-coding RNA (EGUI_LNC065373)". Lineage: Eukaryota; Viridiplantae; Streptophyta; Magnoliopsida; Arecales; Arecaceae. The record is from RNAcentral.
AUAGAAGCUUUUCCUUAAGAUUUACUCUGUCCUAGCUAUAAUUUUUUGAACUCAGUCUCAUAAAUUACAUAGGACUUCUCUUUAUCUACUAAGAUCGAUAGAUCCCUUUUAAGUGCACACCCUACUCCUACAACGAACUUACUAUAGCUAACAUAUACUGCAAGGAUUCGAGUGGCUAGGAGAUCAAGUAUUUGUGCAGUCAAACUACAGUAACCCCAUUAUGAAUAGCCGAAGCACCGU